GACGAACGCUGGCGGCGUGCUUAACACAUGCAAGUCGAACGGAGUGGCGAACGGGUGAGUAACACGUGGGUGAACUGCCUUGCACUUCGGGAUAAGCUUGGGAAACUGGGUCCAAAACCGGAUAGUGCAAGAUGAGCUCGCGGCCUAUCAGCUUGUUGGUGGAGUAAUGGCCUACCCAGGGGUCGACGGGUAGCCGGCCUGAGAGGGUGUACGGCCACAAGGGGACUACGAUACGGACCAGACUGCUACGGGAGGCAGUGGGGGCGAAUUGUGCACAACGGGCGGAAGCCUGAUGCAGAGACGCCGGGUGGGGGAAGAACGUCUUCGGGGUGUAAACUCCUUUCGACAGGGACGCGGUACCUGUAUAAGAAGCACCGGCUAACUACGUGCCAGCAGCCGCGGUAAUAC
This 408-nucleotide ribosomal RNA is filed under the name uncultured bacterium. RNAcentral's name for it is "partial 16S ribosomal RNA". It matches the Rfam family "Bacterial small subunit ribosomal RNA", at positions 28 to 526 of the family's 1533-position model. The record is from RNAcentral.